RNAcentral lists this ribosomal RNA (180 nucleotides) under uncultured bacterium. RNAcentral describes it as "partial 16S ribosomal RNA". It matches the Rfam family "Bacterial small subunit ribosomal RNA", at positions 1321 to 1500 of the family's 1533-position model. The record is from RNAcentral.
UGAAGCUGGAAUUGCUAGUAAUGGCAGGUCAGCAUACCGCCGUGAAUACGUUCCCGGGCCUUGUACACACCGCCCGUCACACCAUGAGAGUUGGAAAUACCCGAAGCCUGUGAGCUAACAGUAAUGAGGCAGCAGUCGAAGGUAGAGCCAAUGAUUGGGGUGAAGUCGUAACAAGGUAUC